Molecule: transfer RNA, 83 nt
Filed under: Phlyctis petraea
Lineage: Eukaryota; Fungi; Ascomycota; Lecanoromycetes; Phlyctidaceae
Description: tRNA-Leu
Source: RNAcentral
AAAGUAGUGAUGGAACAGGUAGACAUGAAUAGCUUAGGACUAUUUGAUUUUUAAUCUUAUCCGUUCAAAUCGGAUCUACUUUA